RNAcentral lists this transfer-messenger RNA (373 nucleotides) under Citrobacter freundii. It matches the Rfam family "transfer-messenger RNA". From Rfam's summary of the family: Bacterial tmRNA, also known as 10Sa RNA or SsrA, is named for its dual tRNA and mRNA-like properties. RNAcentral also lists the same sequence under 1 other name. The record is from RNAcentral. Lineage: Bacteria; Pseudomonadati; Pseudomonadota; Gammaproteobacteria; Enterobacterales; Enterobacteriaceae.
GGGGCUGUACCGGUUUUGACAGCAUAGAUCUUUGGAAGUGUAAGCAUGUCGUGCGUUGGAUAAUUAGCACGUAAAUCUGAAUAUUCAAACCAUAAAUGGCAAUACUCAGUAUGCCAUGGCUGCCUAAUCAGUGAUUAGUUAGUCAUUAGGGCCGCCGGGCCGGUUGAUCUGUUACCACGCCCCGCCGCCGACUUAAAAACAAAACAGGUUGCUGCAAUGAAAGGCUGUGCUCAUUGCUUAAGACCAUCCAGCUAAGUGUUAUGUUGGUUUGUUCAUUUCCUGUAUAACGCCGACAAACAAUAAUGAAAUAAACAUGUAGAAAGCUUUUGGAGAAUGUGUUUGGACAGGGGUUCGAAUCCCCUCAGCUCCACCA